AAAACCUCCAAGCCCGACGGUCUGACAUUUUACUCCAUUAAAGAAGUCAAGUCAUUUCCUGACAAGACAGAAGUGAGUGUCAAAGGAAAAGUUACAAAGAUUAAUUAUGUCGAAAAGAUUGAGGUGAAGUUCACCAAGACGAAGAUAAAAAGGCAACAAUUCCAACUUAAAGACGAGACUGAUUCCAUCGAGAUCGUCAUGUGGGGGGAAGCCACCGAGCAAUGC
Molecule: long non-coding RNA, 225 nt
Organism: Sander lucioperca (pikeperch)
Lineage: Eukaryota; Metazoa; Chordata; Actinopteri; Perciformes; Percidae
Exons: 3
Source: RefSeq, a predicted model, not a curated record